GUUUGGUUAAGUUAGAAAGGGCGCACGGUGGAUGCCUUGACACUAGGAGUCGAUGAAGGACGGGACUAACGCCGAUAUGCUUCGGGGAGCUGUAAGUAAGCUUUGAUCCGAAGAUUUCCGAAUGGGGAAACCCACCAUACGUAAUGGUAUGGUAUCCUUAUCUGAAUACAUAGGGUAAGGAAGACAGACCCAGGGAACUGAAACAUCUAAGUACCUGGAGGAAGAGAAAGCAAAUGCGAUUUCCUGAGUAGCGGCGAGCGAAACGGAACAUAGCCCAAACCAAGAGGCUUGCCUCUUGGGGUUGUAGGACAUUCUAUACGGAGUUACAAAGGAACGAGGUAGACGAAGCGACCUGGAAAGGUCCGUCGUAGAGGGUAACAACCCCGUAGUCGAAACUUCGUUCUCUCUUGAAUGUAUCCUGAGUACGGCGGAACACGUGAAAUUCCGUCGGAAUAUGGGGGGACCAUCCUCCAAGGCUAAAUACUACUGACUGACCGAUAGUGAACCAGUACCGUGAGGGAAAGGCGAAAAGAACCCCGUGAGGGGAGUGAAAGAGAUCCUGAAACCGUGUGCCUACAAAUAGUCAGAGCCCGUUAACGGG
Molecule: ribosomal RNA, 601 nt
Filed under: Bacillus cereus
Lineage: Bacteria; Bacillati; Bacillota; Bacilli; Caryophanales; Bacillaceae
Description: bacterial LSU rRNA
Rfam family: Bacterial large subunit ribosomal RNA
Source: RNAcentral